RNAcentral lists this ribosomal RNA (380 nucleotides) under uncultured bacterium. RNAcentral's name for it is "bacterial SSU rRNA". It matches the Rfam family "Bacterial small subunit ribosomal RNA", at positions 30 to 420 of the family's 1533-position model. The record is from RNAcentral.
AUUGAACGCUGGCGGCAGGCCUAACACAUGCAAGUCGAGCGGGGGUAGCAAUACCCUAGCGGCGAACGGGUGAGGAAUGCUUGGGAAUCUGCCUCGUAGUGGGGGAUAACGUUCCGAAAGGAACGCUAAUACCGCAUACGUCCUACGGGAGAAAGGGGGGGAUCUUCGGACCUCUCGCUAUGAGAUGAGCCCAAGCGGGAUUAGCUAGUUGGUGAGGUAAAGGCUCACCAAGGCUACGAUCCCUAGCUGGUCUGAGAGGAUGAUCAGCCACACUGGAACUGAGACACGGUCCAGACUCCUACGGGAGGCAGCAGUGGGGAAUAUUGGACAAUGGGCGAAAGCCUGAUCCAGCCAUGCCGCGUGUGUGAAGAAGGCCUCGG